UACGAAGGGGGCUAGCGUUGCUCGGAAUUACUGGGCGUAAAGCGCACGUAGGCGGCUUUGCAAGUCAGAGGUGAAAGCCCGGGGCUCAACCCCGGAAUUGCCUUUGAGACUGCAUCGCUAGAACGUCGGAGAGGUGAGUGGAAUUCCGAGUGUAGAGGUGAAAUUCGUAGAUAUUCGGAAGAACACCAGUGGCGAAGGCGACUCACUGGACGACUGUUGACGCUGAGGUGCGAAAGCGUGGGGAGCAAACAGGG
This 254-nucleotide ribosomal RNA is filed under the name uncultured bacterium. RNAcentral's name for it is "partial 16S ribosomal RNA". It matches the Rfam family "Bacterial small subunit ribosomal RNA", at positions 524 to 777 of the family's 1533-position model. The record is from RNAcentral.